UACAGAGGGUGCGAGCGUUGUCCGGAAUCACUGGGCGUAAAGGGCGCGUAGGCGGCUUGAUAAGCGUGCGGUGAAAGCCCGGGGCUCAACCCCGGGUCGGCCGUGCGAACUGUCGAGCUGGAGCACUGUAGAGGCAGGUGGAAUUCCGGGUGUAGCGGUGGAAUGCGUAGAGAUCCUGAAGAACACCGGUGGCGAAGGCGGUUCUCUGGGCAUUACCUGACGCUGAGGAGCGAAAGCGUGGGGAGCGAACAGG
Molecule: ribosomal RNA, 253 nt
Filed under: uncultured bacterium
Lineage: Bacteria
Description: partial 16S ribosomal RNA
Rfam family: Bacterial small subunit ribosomal RNA
Source: RNAcentral